This 460-nucleotide ribosomal RNA is filed under the name uncultured bacterium. RNAcentral's name for it is "partial 16S ribosomal RNA". It matches the Rfam family "Bacterial small subunit ribosomal RNA", at positions 338 to 795 of the family's 1533-position model. The record is from RNAcentral.
CCUACGGGAGGCAGCAGUGAGGAAUAUUGGUCAAUGGACGAGAGUCUGAACCAGCCAAGUAGCGUGAAGGAUGACUGCCCUAUGGGUUGUAAACUUCUUUUAUAUGGGAAUAAAAUGUUCCACGUGUGGGAUUUUGUAUGUACCAUAUGAAUAAGGAUCGGCUAACUCCGUGCCAGCAGCCGCGGUAAUACGGAGGAUCCGAGCGUUAUCCGGAUUUAUUGGGUUUAAAGGGAUAGUAGGUGGAUUGUUAAGUCAGUUGUGAAAGUUUGCGGCUCAACCGUAAAAUUGCAGUUGAAACUGGCAGUCUUGAGUACAGUAGAGGUGGGCGGAAUUCGUGGUGUAGCGGUGAAAUGCUUAGAUAUCACGAAGAACUCCGAUUGCGAAGGCAGUUCACUGGACUGCAACUGACACUGAGGCUCGAAAGUGUGGGUAUCAAACAGGAUUAGAUACCCCUGUAGUC